UACGGAGGGGGCUAGCGUUGUUCGGAAUUACUGGGCGUAAAGCGCACGUAGGCGGCUUUCUAAGUCGGGGGUGAAAUCCUGGAGCUCAACUCCAGAACUGCCUUCGAUACUGGAAGUCUUGAGUAUGGGAGAGGUGAGUGGAACUGCGAGUGUAGAGGUGAAAUUCGUAGAUAUUCGCAAGAACACCAGUGGCGAAGGCGGCUCACUGGCCCAUUACUGACGCUGAGGCACGAAAGCGUGGGGAGCAAACAGG
RNAcentral lists this ribosomal RNA (253 nucleotides) under uncultured bacterium. RNAcentral describes it as "partial 16S ribosomal RNA". It matches the Rfam family "Bacterial small subunit ribosomal RNA", at positions 524 to 776 of the family's 1533-position model. The record is from RNAcentral.